AUGGUAUUCCAUCUGCGAGCAAACCACAGAGGUUAUGCUACAGGGAUGGACACUUGCAGCAGCAGAGAAGCGGCUGCUGUUUACAGUGUCAUACGGCACUUCCUGGUCAAGUGCUCUUCACAGGGACAAGAUGUAGUACAAAAAGGAAAGAAUGGCACAACUUCAAGCAAUGCUCAGUGGAAAGAGAAGUCGUUUUUGGUUUGGAGGCUCACGGUGACAGAUGCCACCACUGCCAAAACCUAUAUGAAUCAUCAUUGCAUCACAAGAACAGAGGAAACAGCAAUAACAUCGACAGAAGAUGGUGGAAACGUAGAGGCUUCAGUGUGUGUAACAACAUAA
Molecule: ribosomal RNA, 339 nt
Filed under: Triticum aestivum (bread wheat)
Lineage: Eukaryota; Viridiplantae; Streptophyta; Magnoliopsida; Poales; Poaceae
Description: partial small subunit ribosomal RNA
Source: RNAcentral